UUUUUAUGAUGAUUACCUAUGAUAUUUAAACUUUUCUUUCUGGCAUCUCUAAUGUUAGAGCUUUUCAGCUCGAUGAAUAUAAAAUUGACAACUAUCUGACA
This is a small nucleolar RNA of 101 nucleotides. It matches the Rfam family "Small nucleolar RNA snR48". Rfam says of the family: snR48 is a member of the C/D class of snoRNA which contain the C (UGAUGA) and D (CUGA) box motifs. Most of the members of the box C/D family function in directing site-specific 2'-O-methylation of substrate RNAs.